GACGAACGCUGGCGGCGUGCUUAACACAUGCAAGUCGAACGAUGAACCCGGAGCUUGCUCUGGGGGAUUAGUGGCGAACGGGUGAGUAACACGUGAGUAACCUGCCCUUGACUCUGGGAUAAGCGUUGGAAACGACGUCUAAUACCGGAUAGGACCUUGGAACGCAUGAUCUUGGGUGGAAAGUUUUUUCGGUCUGGGAUGGACUCGCGGCCUAUCAGCUUGUUUGUGAGGUAAUUGCUCACCAAGGCGUCGACGGGUAGCCGGCCUGAGAGGGUGACCGGCCACACUGGGACUGAGACACGGACGCGACUCCUACGGGAGGCAGCAGAGGGGAAUAUUGCACAAUGGGCGAAAGCCUGAUGGAGCAACGCCGCGUGCGGGAUGACGGCCUUCGGGUUGUAAACCGCUUUUAGUAGGGAAGAAGGGCUUCGGCUUGACGGUACCUGAAGAAAAAGGACCGGCUAACUACGUG
Molecule: ribosomal RNA, 472 nt
Filed under: uncultured bacterium
Lineage: Bacteria
Description: partial 16S ribosomal RNA
Rfam family: Bacterial small subunit ribosomal RNA
Source: RNAcentral